GAAGCGGAGGACGUGUCUUCUGAUGAUUCCCUGAGCUCGGAUUCUGAUGAUGAGGCUGGUAAGGGGAAUGGUUGGAACGCCUUUAGACUGCCCAAUUCCUCCAAAGCUGCUUCACCAGCAGAAGGUGAGAGCUUUUGAUCCGUGAAUCACUUCGCAUUUGUGUGUUUCACUCGUGGGUAGGUAAUGAGCUGAUAUGGUUGAUUGCUGAUUUACUGUGAUUGUUGAAGUUUGUUCGUGUACAUAUCAGCUCACAUGAAGACUGUUUGUUCAACAGUUUGUUCACAUAGGUCAUAGGCUUUAUAUUUGCCACGUGUACAUGAAUGCUUCUUUUCUGAACCACCUAUGAAGACUGUUGUGCGUUCAAAUUGAAUGUAGAAGAAAUAAUAAAGCAAGUUGUUGGAGAGACGUGCUUAGUUGAUAUCUGUUUGCCUUACAAAACUAGGUGUGCUUGCAAACAGAUUGAACAGGUAUCACUCUAAGAAAUUGAGUGAAGUCUAUGAUAUCUUGUUUACCUUUAGCUAUCUCUAUUUCAAUGAAGAAUUGUCAGCUUGUCCUGUGUAAUCUUGUCCUCAAGUUAUUUGGAUUGAAGUUUUGAGUUUCCCAAACUGAUGGUUGCAUAUUAAUACAGUUGCAGCUUGGAUUUUCUUGGAACCAUUAGGUUUUCCUUUUCUUUUUUUUUUUCAGAUUGUGAUAGCACUAAAUUGGCUCUCUUAGCUGACCCCAAGUUCUCACUCUCAGCUGGUUUACUACUGUAGCUGCAGAUUUACUAGCCAAUAUAUUCAGGAAAUUUGUUUCUGGAUCUUUCCAAGUAUGAGUUUGUGCAAAUAAGCAAUGCACUUUUAGAUAUAGUUGUGGUUUGUAUUAUUGCAUCUUUUGUUUUUUGCAAUUAUAGCCAAAUAACAACUCUCAAUGCAUUUCUUGCAACUAAGUAUUAAAUUUGAGAUUUAGAAAUGUUCGUUGGGGAAAGAAACUAGUGUUUCUUAACUGGGCACCUCUGAGACAUGGACUGAGCUGUUGCAGAUCCUCAGGAAUGGUCUUUCUAAUGUAGUAAUGGGAUCAUGCAGGUGCUCUGAUCAGGAGGGCCGAAAUGUAUCAACAUUACAUGAAGCACAUUCCGGUUCCUGCUUACCGUGAUUCCCUAAUCCCAUUCACAUCAUGGAUGGGACUUGCCAGAUCACUGAAGCAGUUGUACAAACAACCCUUGCAUUACCUCACUAAUGUCCUAUUGAAAAGGUGGGAUCAGCAAAGGAUUGGGAGUGAUGAUGAGCAUCGGCGUCUAGACGCCGUUGUCCACCCUGUGAGAGCUGAGACCCUAAUUUGGGCUACUGAAGAAGUCCAUAGGUUGACCACCUCUGGUCGGCACUUAGCUAGUCUUUGGGCAUCGGAUCCCUUGUAUCAUGCUUACAUAGAUCCAGUGUUCCCUUCCAUAAAGUUGGAUUAGCAAACAAGUUGGGCCUUUUUAUUUUGUCUAUUUUGGUACUGUUGAAGCCGACACAGUUUUAUUUGCUAAAUAGCAAGUACCAACAGUAAAUAUGAACUCCAGAUGAUUGUUGUUCUAAGUAUGAUAACUCAUUGUUAGGGUUUAAUUUAACAUUGAUUUUAGCUCUUGAACAGUAGCCGUGUCAAAGAGGAAGAAAACUGGUGGUGUGGAUUUCAGUGCUUUGAGCAGGCAUGGAUACCGCGGUGGUCCAUCUGUCCUGACAGUUCGUCCCCAGGAGGAAUCUAAUUGGUCAUGGUCCACUGGAAAAGAUCGUGAUGACAAAGAAGAUGCGCCUGAGUCCUAUGAAGAACGGGAGCGUACAAGGGCUGCAGUAACUGAAGGAGAGAAGCUUAUCGGUGUGCAGAAUGCACCGCUGAACCAGUUACUAUUAGAGAAAGACCAUAAGAAUGCUUCCUUCUCGCAGAAGGAGAAGCGGAAGAGGGAUCGGGGGCAGGCCAGCAGAGGGAAGAACUACGUCGAGGAGGAGAAACGGCUCCUGAGGGGGAGUGGCGUUUACUCUGGCUUUGAUAUUUGAAAGUAAACUGCUAUGAAUGCAGUGAGACUUCUAACAUGUCUGCCUACAGAGGAUUAAUCCUUGGUUUUAAGCUUCAUCGUGUGCUUUGGCUGCUGUUGUGUCGCUAGUAAAAUAGUUGUGUCUCUGAGUGUAGGGCUGGUUAGCGUUGAGCUUCCUGUGAUGUGGGACUUAAGUUUGGACUUUGGAUAUGCGUAUAUAUUGCUACUCAAAUGAUACUGCAGCGAUCUAUAUGUAUUUCAUGCCCUGCUGUUUCCUUUGACGGUUGUUGGACGGCAUUUCAGAGUUGUGACAAUGAUGGAUAUAAAUUAGGAAAUGACAAUCUCUCUAUCUGCCUCUGAACAUAUUUGCUCCUAACUAGAAGGCAGACCGUCUUUAUAUAAUUAUUGCAUAGUAUUAGCAUGGUUUGAUCAGUGAGUAGUAUUUUUUUAAUCAUGCAAUCUUUCACAACUGAUACUUGAUUGUUUUUGGGAGUGGCCAUUGACUAGCAUGUACUUGAUUGACAACUGAUACUUGCUAAUCUCCAACAACAACUGAUACUUUCUUGCUAAUCUCCAACGAUGGACGCUUUCAGUGCAUGGUGGAGCAUGUGAAACCAUGGAGUACUUUUGUAGUGACAUGAUGUAGUUGUACUACUUAUCAACUUGGCUUUCUCCAAUGUCUCAUGAUUGAUGCAGUUAUAUUACUUGUCUACUUUCUUCAGUGUCAGAUGAUCGACAGACCUUGUAAGAGAAGAUAAGUUUACCUAUUACGUGAUAGGGUAUGUUAGUAGCACACCAUUUAUAACUGGACGCCGGCCGCUCAUGCAGUUUUUGUGCAUAUGAGAAGCUAAGCUUGUGUGCUCUUCAUGCAGUUUUUGUGCAGAUGAGAAGCUAAGCUUGUGUGUUUUCAUGUGUUUGGUUUGGCUCCCUUCCCGUUCCAAGCUGCGCUGCUGCUGACAGCUCGCACUGCAUUCCACAUUGCCAUCGCAGCUUGUUACUGGGUUGGCAACUGGAAAUGGGAGCGCUUGCGAGAAAUUGUUGCAGGCAUCAGCACAGCUCAUUGCUGCAUUUCUUGGAUGCUAUAUUUUCAAAAUCCAGUAUUUGAUUUGCCACUGCAGAAGAAAGGGAGAGUACUGUAUCUCGAAUUCUCCAUAUAUACAUAGCAAUAACUGUAAUUGGGAAUGCAUACUCCCACCCGGCACAACGCAAGUAUCCGCUUUGAAAAGACGCAGAAUGGUAAGCAGCAUUGUAAGUCUUUUUUAUGUUUAUAGCUGCAACCAUCGUUUCUUUACUUAAGACUCAGUUACAACCGCUGCCGUCUUAUCUGUACGUACCUCAUGUCAUGAUGUAUCCCUCCUCAACAUAGAUGGAUGUCGAUUGUGAAUGCCUGAAUGGCUGAAUCCCCUACCUUCCCUGAACGGGUUCGCCAGGAUCAGCUUGUAACAGACACAUGGCCUUUUCAAUGUCAGAGUUUUGUUAGUAUAGUUUGUUCAGUGAGUGGAUGGUUUACCAUGCUGUCUCUCACAUUAUCUUGGAAUCAAGAUCAUAAU
This 3543-nucleotide long non-coding RNA is filed under the name Setaria viridis. RNAcentral describes it as "long non-coding RNA (SVIR_LNC004954)". Lineage: Eukaryota; Viridiplantae; Streptophyta; Magnoliopsida; Poales; Poaceae. The record is from RNAcentral.